AAGAAGCUACCGAGAGAGGAAAAGGCAGAAGAAGAAGAAAAAAAAUGGCUCUUGUUACUCAAGAAGUCAUCAAUCAACUUGAAGCAUUAAUGGAGGAAGAUGCAGUGGGCGAGUCACUU
Molecule: non-coding RNA, 119 nt
Organism: Salvia hispanica
Lineage: Eukaryota; Viridiplantae; Streptophyta; Magnoliopsida; Lamiales; Lamiaceae
Source: RefSeq, a predicted model, not a curated record